RNAcentral lists this long non-coding RNA (779 nucleotides) under Brassica rapa (field mustard). RNAcentral describes it as "long non-coding RNA (BRAP_LNC000326)". The record is from RNAcentral. Lineage: Eukaryota; Viridiplantae; Streptophyta; Magnoliopsida; Brassicales; Brassicaceae.
GCAUUUAAGAAGCGCGGAUAUUUUUUUGGUGACCGUAAACUCAAAUAUUAAAUGAAUUUAUAUUUAUUAUUAGAUAUCUAAAAUAUUUAAAAGCUGUUCUAUUAUUAUUAUUUCAGUCCGGUACAAUAUUUUCAUUGAGUUUUCAUAUCUGAAUCAGACUUGUGGUCCAACCGUAAGAUCUAGUAACUCAUAUAUAGUGGGAUAGAAUAUAAUAAAAUGAAUAUAGUAAAAGUAUCUGAAAAUCAAAAAGACCGUUAUAAACCCACUGAGAAAAAUAUAAUUUGUUUUUUGAUUUAUAAAUUUUUGAUAUAUUAAUAUACAUUUGACUUGUAUAAGAAAUUUCUUUUAACAAAUAUUGUUAAGUUUAUUUAUAAAUAUAUUAAUUAUCAAUCUACCAAAAUAGUGAAGCAAGUAUUAUUUUUUUUCCUUUUUUUUAAUUUUCUAUCAAACUAUUAUCAAUUUUUUUUAAAUAAAAAAAUCAGUUUGUGACAGAUAUUUUAUUAUUAGAAAUCCAUACAAUUUAAAUAAUGUUACAUUUAUAUGUAUUUAUGUAUAAAAUGGUCUUCAUAAUUUGGGAUUUUGUAAAAAAUUGGUCUAAAGUUAAUUUGGUUAAUUUUUUUUUUUUGUAACAAAAGUUAAUUGGAUUUAUAAUUUUCUUUUCUGAAUGGGUUGUAUCAGUUAAAUUAUUUUUUUAAGUUAAACGCCCAAAUCUCAAUUAAUAAUAUUUAUUUUGCUGAUAACAAAGUGAGAUUAAAUAGGGAUAACAUAUAAUAUAUAAG